RNAcentral lists this ribosomal RNA (253 nucleotides) under uncultured bacterium. RNAcentral's name for it is "partial 16S ribosomal RNA". It matches the Rfam family "Bacterial small subunit ribosomal RNA", at positions 524 to 776 of the family's 1533-position model. The record is from RNAcentral.
UACGUAGGGUGCGAGCGUUAAUCGGAAUUACUGGGCGUAAAGCGUGCGCAGGCGGUUCGUUAAGUCAGAUGUGAAAGCCCCGGGCUCAACCUGGGAACUGCAUUUGAAACUGGCGGGCUUGAGUGUGGCAGAGGGGGGUGGAAUUCCGCGUGUAGCAGUGAAAUGCGUAGAUAUCGAGAGGAACACCUGCGGCGAAGGCGGGUUGCUGGGCUGACACUGACGCUGAAGCGCGAAAGCUAGGGGAGCGAACGGG